GCUAGCUGCGUGAAGUAAUGUGAAUUGCAGACACAUUGAACAUCGACAUUUCGAACGCAUAUUGCGGAAUCGGGUUCUUCCCGGUUCCAGGUUCCCUUGACGGCGUCAUUAAGUGAAAGCUGUACGGCUGCUUUGAGCAUGCUUGGCCGACAUGGCGAUGGCAGUGGUUUGGUUGUGCGGUGUGCCCUUGGAAUCUGGGGCCGUCUCUUCACCACAUAUUCCAUUCACCUGCUACUCGUUGUUAAGUAUGUUCCGCCUCUUGCAGACGUCGCAUUGGACUUGCUGCAGCCCUUGUGCUGUACCAGUCUUGAGUGAAGAUUUGCUGACUGCCUCUGUCAGUACCUCGUAUACGGUGUCGCUACGUUCCUCGAACGCAGGCAGCCGUGCUACCUACAGUUAGCUCUGACAGCUGACGCUUAUCUCGUCUGAACGUGCAAAUGGCUAUGCGCGGCAGAGUGUUGGUGGUAUGUGUUGGUUCCAGAGAAGGAGGCAACACUGCCCGACAUGCCUACACUUUUCUGACGUGUUUGUAAUGUUCCUGCUUCUACGAGAGACAGCUUCAGUGUAGGUGGCAUGGUGGAUAUUGCCGCUGAAAGGACGUGGUGACCCUUUUUAUUUUACGCGUCAAGUGGAGCCUGACUACCCGCUUAAUUUAAGCAUAUUAGUAAGCGGAGGAAAAGAAACUAACAAGGAUUCCCUUAGU
RNAcentral lists this ribosomal RNA (703 nucleotides) under Trichodorus iranicus. RNAcentral's name for it is "eukaryotic LSU rRNA". The stretch from base 620 to 703 matches the Rfam family "Eukaryotic large subunit ribosomal RNA", at positions 1 to 84 of the family's 3401-position model. Lineage: Eukaryota; Metazoa; Nematoda; Enoplea; Triplonchida; Trichodoridae. The record is from RNAcentral.